Long non-coding RNA from Homo sapiens (human), 10074 nucleotides. RefSeq lists it as uncharacterized. The transcript has 2 exons. The record is from RefSeq and is a predicted model, not a curated record. Lineage: Eukaryota; Metazoa; Chordata; Mammalia; Primates; Hominidae.
UUGUUGUUUUUGAUCUUUUUGUUGUUUUGUUGUUGUUUUGUUGUUGAUCUUUGUUUUAAUUUAAGAUUUUCUUUUUUUACAAAGGGGAAACAGUUUAUUUUCCUCUUAUUUUUAUAAAAACAUUACCUACUCAUUGUAAAAUAUCCAAGCCAUACAAAAAGGUAUAAAGAAGAAAAAAAUCUUCUGAAAUUUCACUAUGCAGUGUUAAACCCUAGGUAUGUAGGUUUUCCUCUCUCCAUCCUAUCCUCCCUCCCUUCCUAUUAUCUAUAUAUCUAUUUAUCUAUCUAUCAUAUUUAUCUAAAAAUGUCAAUAGAUACACAUGCAUGGGGAAAAAAACAUAAUAUUAGAGAAUGACAUAAAACAAAAAGCAAAGUUCCCUUCUCUGUUCUUUUGCAUUCCUAAACAAGUUUUCCAGAGGUUAAAUGUUUGUUUUCUCAUUCAAUUAUUUACAUAGAUAACUCCAAAUAACAUGAUUUUACUGAUAUUUUCUUGGUUUAUCAACUUGAAUAUCAUUGGUUGACUCUCAGCUAUAGAGAGUAAAGAUUUAGUUCACUCAUUUACUUCCUAUAUCUUUUUCCUUCCUAUAGUUUUAAUAAUUAUAUUACUAUUUUGAUUUCUAUUUGUUACUUUCUAGCUUUAAAUAUUUUAUAUAUAUUUUCAGAUUUUUUUCUUUUUUUCAUUAUUACAGUUUAAGUUCUGAGAUACACAUGCAGAACAUGCAGGUUUGCUACAUAGGUAUAUACGUGCCAUGGUGCUUUGCUGCACCCAUCAACCCGUCAUCUGCAUUAGGUAUUUCUUUGAAUAGUAUCAUAUACUAUACAAACCCUGGUAUAGUUAUAAAAUAAAAUAUUGUUAAUUAAGCCAAUCCAUGGGAAUGGUAAAGAUCGAAUUGACUUCCAAAGUAUGGAUCAGAUAAGACAAAAUAAUAUGUAAUUCUGCUUCUGUUUUCUGUAAGUCAGUAGUGGCAUUGGUUCAGUUUUUCUCUUAAGCCUCCUCAGGAAAGAAGUACUCUGGGAGAAUCCCUCUACAUAAAACAGGAGAGAUUAAGAGCUUUCUGAGUUUGCUGAUGAUUAUUGUGAUUGGGUAAUUAGCACCAGAGAGGAAAGAAUUACAGUAUAAAUAAUGCUAACAAUGAAAAGUAGCUAGACACCACUUGAAUGAAGAACAGGACUUACAAGGCUUAGAUGGGCAGCUACAUGAGUCUAAGAGGAAAAAGAUCUUAGAAUCAUAGUGGAGAUCAGUUUAACAAAAUAAAAUCAGAAAAAAAUAUAAAAAGCAUUAAAAAUUCCAUGAGACUUUGCAUAAGUCUACUGUAAGGUUUUAAGAAGGAGUUUACCAACCCCAUGGGAAACAAGAAAAUAAAAAAGGAAGCAGUUUGAUGCAUUUUUGGGAAAGGCAAAUAUGAAAUGAAAACUGAUACAAAGAAUGAAAGCGUUUGUAAAACUAUACCCAUGAGAAACUAGGAAUACUAAAAACAAAUAAAGAAGAGAAGACUUAAUGACUUCUAAGAUAAUAAUAUAUGUUAUGAUUAUUAGAAUUUACACAACUCCAGAGAGAACAGAGCCUAAGAAGUAUCUUGAGAGGUUUAAAGAAUAAUGGGUGAUAAAAUCAUUCUUAAGGGGAGAUGUAGUUAAAUACUAGAAUGAUAAUAUCAUAGACUCUGCUUCAAUGACACCAUUAUAAAGUCGAUUAAAAUUCAUGUGCCAUAAUAGGAAGAUCCUAAAAUGAGACAGAAAUAAACUAUAAGUUCUCUCCUAUUCUUAUAACUUCAUAAUAAUAUCCCAUGGAAUUACUAGUAAACUUCAAUUUUAAUGCUCAUUAAAUAUAGGAUACAUUUUAAUGUGUAAUAACAGGCUUAUGUAUUUGGCCAUUUAUAAUAUUUGCUUUGUCAAAACUAACUAAAAUGGCAACAGAUUUACUCUCUUAAACUCACUGUUUCAAUGUUAUAAAAAGUCUUUUUUAUUAAUUGAAUUCCAUCCUUUAAAUGCUGUAAAUGUCCAGCUAAAAAUGCCUCUGUAAAGGUUAAGUAUGCUGGCCAGGUGCCAUGGCUCACGCCUGUAAUCCCAGCACUUUGGGAGGCCCAGGCAGGCAGAUCACUUGAGGUUAGGAGUUUGAGAACAGCCUGGCUAACAUGGUGAAAACCUGUCUCUACAAAAAAAUACAAAAAUUAGCUGGGUGUGGUGGUGGGCACCUGUAACCCCAGCUACUGGGGAGGCUGAGGCAGGAGAAUUGCUUGAGCCUGGGAGGCAGAGGUUGCAGUGAGCUCAGAUAGCGCAACUGUGCUCCAGCCUGGGUGACAGAGAGAGACUCCAUGUCAAAAAAAAAAAGAGAGAGAGAAAAGAAAAAAGUUAUGCUUAAUGUUACAGAUAAACUUUAAUGUGAAUAAAAUAUAAAAAUUUACUUAAAUGGUUACAUCAUUAUUUCAAAAAAUGUAUUAUGUCAAUGAUGUUGGAAGCACUUAACAAUUCAAAAUAAUUGUUCUGUAUUUAAUGGUUAUAAAUGUUUUAUGCUGUAUAAUUAAGUUUAAUUUAGUAUGUAAAUGUUAUUACUGAAAUAUUCUUUGGUACUCGAAAUGAAUUUAAGUAGGUGUUCAUAUUCUGUGGAAUAUUCUAAUAUUAGAUAUUUUUUGAAUUAAAGAGUUUAUUUCCAAAGGAUGGCUCCCCAUAAGUGAGUUUGCAUCUGUUCAGUUUGACACUAAAUGGAAAGGUUUAAUUCAGAGCAGGAUCAUUCCUUGUGUUUAGAUAAUUAGGUGAGAACAAGAUAAAAUUUUGUAAGGUGUAGCUUUCACAAAAUAAGAUCUAUUAAUAAAGAAAGUAGGCGAUUGUUCUAUGCAGAUAAUAGACACAAUGUGUUUUUAUGUAUCCUCUUUUUUAGUAUUAAAAUCCCAUUCAACAUGUGAUUAUAGAGCUAUGAGACUAUAAAAAUAAGUACUGAAAUACCAUUCAGAAAAUUCACCUUGAUAAGCCUAUUCUAACCAUGCUUCCAUGACAUGAAAUAUUUUGGCAACUCCAAUUUAGGAACUGUUUUCAGAGACCGGAUAUGACUCAUAAAAGAAAAACAGCCUCAUUGCUUUAUAUUCACACUUUGCAAAGAAAAAGGGAUAACAUUUUUCUGUACAGAGUAGAUAUUAUGGGGCAAGCUGAGAAAUCAUUCCACAAACUAAAUUCAAAACAAGCACUAAAAAUUAGUCAUCUUCCAAGGUAACACCAGUUAGAAAUGAGCCUCAGAGUGAGGAAUGAUGUAAUGAAAUGGAUAGCUGGUCAAGAUGAUUUUAAAAAUCUCCUCCAACCUUAAGAUUGUUAUUUUUCCUGAUCCAGGAUUCUGUCAAACUCCACCAUACAUAUCAGUUAUUCCUCCUCUGUAGAUGCUUAUGUACAAGUCACUAUCAUCCUUCUGCCACAUACACAUGGUCCAGAGUAAAAUCACUGCUUUAAAGUAAAACAACAUUAACUUUCUGGUAUGUGUGUAUGCAGGUGUGCACACAAGUGGUUGGACUAACAUUAUUCUCUGACUGACCUCACGUGGAGUCAGCACAGAUCAAGAUGGAGAAAUGAGUCUAAAGAAAACUUGCACAAAGAAACCACUGGGAUAUUUAGGGGAGGAUUGCAAGCAUAUGUCCUAUGUACUAAAUGCACAACAUUCUAUACUCCAUUUAGCAGAAAAUACACUCUUCUUUAGUGUGAUAUACACUCUUGGGGCUUUUUCCGUUUUAGUUCACAACCUACAUUAUCCUCCACACAGAUUAUUUUAUAUCAACAUUCUUCAAAUAUCAAUGAUUUCUAUGCCUUUUUAUUUAAAAACACCACAUAUAGCAAGAUAUUAAAAACUAAUAUUUUAUGUUCUAUUAAGAGAGCUAAAAUCUAUUGUAACAUUUUCCUGGCAAAUGCAACUGCCAUUACUGUUUUUCUAAAGUGAUACAUCAGAUUGUUUAACAUAUCAUUAGUCCCAAUAUAAAAGAGGGAGAAAUUUUUGUAGUUAGGCAAUUUUUGUACCUUGUUUCUUGUGUCUAAAAAUUCCAUUUGCAAGUGUACAAAAUUCUACUGAACAAGUAUAAUCAGUACAGAUAAUAUCAUCACUAUAAACCAAGCCAAGUAUACAAAGUACAAAACAACAUGAGGUAAGAUUGCCAGGUUUUUAAUUUGUCUUUUCCAAGUAACAACAUUGCUAAUGCUUACCAUACAUUAUCAAAGGUUGGUACUGCUAGGUCCCGCUGCGUUAAACAUUUAUAAAUUUAUUAUUUGGUUCUUCAAACAUUCGUUUGUAUUUUUUUACCUGAAAUUAUUAUGCAUUUAGCUUUUAUUCAUUUCAAAAAAUUCUACUGCAUUAGGUCUUCAAAGGGAUUUCCAAAGUGUUCAAUUACUUCUAACUGUGGCUUUUUUCUGGCUUUUUUUUUUUUUUUUUUGGAAUAAAGCCAGGUUCCCAGUCUUUGCACUUUUACUCUUACUCUCUUAAUCCACUUGUUCCAGGGCUUGUGAAAAGGGGUUUUCUUUCAUGACUUCCCCAACAGUGAGGGUUCCUUUCUAGCUUUAAAAAAUUCAAGCUUAAAAAAAUUUCAACUGGCAUCUUUAUAAUGCUGUAGCUUUUGCUCAGUGAGGAAUCAAACCCUUUGAACAAUGAAUGCUUGUCUAAAGCAACUAUUCAUAGAAGUACUGCCUUCUGGGGAAUGGGAAAAGUUUUUACCUACUGACAAACGGGAGUAGCAUAACAGAAUAGAACUGCACCCAACGCAAAGUGCCUUGUGUUUUCAGCUCUGAAAUAAGGAGAUCAGUUACCGCCCGUCUGCUAUUGACCCGUUAUAAAAAGUAGAGUGCUGAAGAAUAUCAAACAAGAUCAAGCAGCAGUCCAGAUGAGAUCAUGUGUCUUCUUUUUAAAUGUUUUGAAUUUACAGAUUUUAAAAAUGUUUGGAGAGGCUGAAGGCUUGUCUACAUGUGUGAAUUACAACUUGAUGACGGAGUUUUAGUGAGAGUCUAAGAGACAAAAAGGACAAAUCUUGAGAAAAUUGUCUAGUAUAUAUAAAUAGUUUUAGCACUUACUUCAAAAGUUAGUCUUAUGUUAUAUCAUUUAGGUAUCAAAACUUCCUAAGUCCUCUGAAAAGAAGCCAAACCUCCUGAUGUCUCUUAUUGAGCUUUCUCCAACAGCAGGCUCCUAUGCAUAUAAGAUUGCUCUUCGUUCUGUGCUCACACUAAUUUUCUGUAGCAAAAAUUGUGGCACAGAAUUUCCUUAAUUCAGCAUUUGGAAGCAAUAGGUUUUAAUCCAGCUUUAGGGAGUGGAGAGAGAGCAAUUUAGAACUUUAAAAAAAAUAAGUUUAUAAAAUCAACAUGUAUAAAUGAUGGCCAUUACUACUGCUGAUAAUGUUGAGUUUCUUAGGAGUGGCAAUAAAAGUGCCUUAGCAAUUCAGUUUCUAUAUUUCUUUCUGUUUCUUUAUUAUUCAGUGCCUAUGUCUGAAGCAUGUAGCUUACUGGAGCUUUCUCUCCUCCCUCUGCAUUCCAGAAUUGUCUGGUUUUCCACACUUUAGCACUUCCUAAUGUUAGAUAUAAAAUAAAGAAGUAGACACUCAAACUGCAAUAUUUUACCACUCUUCUAGGUAUUGAAGCAUGAGAAAAAUAAAAGGUUGAUAGUAAAACAUGAAAUGUAGCUGUUUUCAUCUAUCCAACCUCUCUUUUAUUAUUAUUAUCCACAAUUAAGAAUUACAUACAGAUGUCCCUUAAUUUCUGAUGGGAUUAUGUCCCAAUAAACCCUUUAUAAAUUGAAAAUGUCAUGAUUUAAAAAUGCAUUUAAACAACUAACCUACCAAACAUUCUAGCUUGCUUUGCCAGAACACUUUUAUUAGCCUAGAGUAGGCAAAAUCAUCUAACACAAUGCCUAUUUUAUAAUAAAGUAUUGGAUAUCUCAUGUAAGUUAUUGAACACUAACAGUGAAAACUAAAAUUGUUGUGUGGGUACUUGCAGUACGGUUUCUACUGAAUGCAUGUGCCUUUAUGCCAUCUUAAAUUUAAAAAUCCCAAGUCAGACCAUCGUUAAGUCAGAGAGUGUAUAUUGUAAAUAUGUAAGACAUAAUUAUCGUAUUCAGUGGUUCAUUAGAUGACUAAUUUUAAAAGCUUAGGUUUUUUUUUUUAUUUUUUCCUUUAAAGAUGGAGUCUCGCUUUGUCAUCCGGGCUGGAUGUGGUGCGAUCAUAGCUCUGCCUACUCGAACUCCUGGGCUCAAGCGAUCCUCCUGCUUCAUCCUCGCAAGUACCUGGGACUACAGGCACAUGCCACCACACCCAGCUGAGAGCUUAUUUUGUUGGAUACUAGGUAUAUUUGCUUAUAUUGAGAUUGUGUUUUCUUCUUCACUACUAAUACCCUGACUGAAUUAGUGAUAGUCAUGGAAAAAGGUCUUGUAACUUCCUGCAUGUUUUAUUGAUCAUGAGCAGUCUAGUAUAAGUUACAUAAACAAUUAAUAAAAGAAAACUAAAAGCAGAUAUGCCUGUUUGUAGUACUGAUUCUCCACCUGCCAUUUUAAUGCCCUUGGCAAAAGAAAAAUGUUUCUAGAUCUCAUAUGUAUGACUUUGCCAUAGAGACUAACCAGAUUCUAUUUGUCUUUUUCUACCCCACUCAAUGGGAAAUAAGGAUAUGUGGGUAUUUGAAAAGUUGAAAGCAGAUAUUGAUCAUUAUUUUAGUCUUAGACAAGAUAGAGUCCAAGGCAGAAAGCAUUAAAUUAGAUACAAAUUGUCAUUUUAUGCAGAAAAAGAGAAUAUAUAACGAAGGUAUAACAAGCAUGAAACUUCAAGUAGCAGCAGAAACUCAACAUAUCUAAAAUAUAAAUUCUUUUUUAAAAGUAGAACUUAAGCUAGAUAGAAAUAGAAGAAGACUUCAAAUGCAAGACUAAAAUGCAAGACUUUGAUAUACUACUUCAAAUAUUAUUUUGAUAUUUUGAUAAAUUGUUUCAACAUAGAAGACAAAUAAUAAAUUAUAUUAGAAAUAGAAUAACUGUACACUAAACUUUAUGUAAUAGAGUGGUAAAUUUCUUUUCAAAUGUCUAGAGUCCGGCCAGGGUCAGUGGCUCACACCUUUAAUCCCAGCACUGUGGGAGGCCAAGGCAGGCAGAUCACUUGAGGCCUGGAGUUUGAGACUAUCCUGGCCAACAUGGCAGAACCCUAUCUCUAGGAAAAAAAAAAAAAAAGAAAAAGAAAUAGAAAACAAAAACAAAAACGAAAACAAAAAACAAUUAUCUAUAGUCUGUGUAACUGAAAACAGACCACACCAUAAAGAAACAACCGGUACAACAAACCCCCAUGAUGCAUGUUUACCUAGGUAACAAGCCUGCACAUUUACCCUUGAACAAUAAAGUUAAAAAAAAAGGAAAAAAAGAGAAGAUUUUUUUAAAAUCUAAAUAAAUUACCAAAGCAGAUAUUGCAUAUACUAAAUAUAAUCUUUGACAAAGAUACACUAAAAUUUGAAAUUAACUUAAUGGUUUUCAAACAGGAAAAACGUAAAGAAAAAAAACAAACCCCAAACAGCCAUUAACUCGAGAUUUAAAUUAUUAUCCUAGUUAUUGGGUCAAAUAAAAAUUAAAAGUAUAGUCACAUGUAUUCAUAAAUUACUGAGCAGAAGGAUGCUGCACAUCAAAAUUAUAUCACAUCACUAAAGCUAUAUGCAAAGGCAAAUGUGUAACAUUAAAUGUUUUCAUUAUUAAAUAAGAAUGAAAAAUCAAUGCACUAAGCAGACCACUCAUAAUUUAUAAAUCAAUUAAUCAGAAGGAAAAAUACAGUAUUAAAUAAGAGCAGAAUUUAAUGAAUUUGGAAAUAUUAAACAAUAUCUUCGUAUUUUUCCUGUUUGUUGGUAUAACCAAUAAAACAAUGUAUUUCAUUACUAAAUCAAGGGGCAUAAUUAUUGAUAUAAUGAAAAUUAAUUUAAAGAAUCCUUGGAAAUCUAAUGAAGAAAAGGAAAUCACAAACACAAAAUCAGAAAGGAUAAAAAUGAAAAUGACCACUAAUAUUUCUUUAGUAUGUAAUAUGUGUCAGGCACUCUUAUAAGAACAUUACCUAUAUUAUUACAUUUAAUGCUCACUUUUAAACCUUGUGAUAUAUGCACUAUUUUUUUCUCGCUCUUUCAGACAUAUGAAGUACUGAAAUACAAAGGGAUUAGGACUGCAAACAAGUUUAUAAGGUAAUAUGUGGUUAGGGCUCUUCCAUGUGCUGAUAUCAAUAUUUCUGCCUAAACUUCCAACUUCAAGUAUGCUGGAUUGUUUCACAUUUGAAUCUAUCUGCUACAUUGCAUUAUGAUAUUCAUUGUAUUCAUGUUUUAUAUCCUUUGUUUUUAAUUUUAAUGGUCAUGUGUGUUUCCCUUUUAUUUAGACUGUAAAUCCUUUAAGUGCAGAAGGAUUUUUCUUUUCUUUUAUCUUUGUAGUCAAAAGGUUUAGCAGAGUGUUUGGAUCAUAAUAGUUACUCAAAAAUUGCUGACUUAAAUACAUGAAUGAGUGAAUAAAUGAAUUCUAUAGAGCAUAUUUCACAUUACACACUAGCAUGUGGACUUGGUCUUGGGGUAAAAGUGCCCAAUACUACAGUAAACAGCUGUCAUACUGUAUGGUCCAUAAGGACCAACCUAUAUCUAUCUCUUUCAUUUUUGUUAUAACCCCAGCACUGGGCACAAUACCCAGCUCAGAGUAAAGACUUAGUAAAGAAGAGUUGAUUGAAGGAGUGAAUGGAUCUGUCCCCUCAUCUUGACUUAAAAGGACAAAAUCCCUGGGCCAAAAACACCUUAAGAAAUAUGGUCAUUUGAUGAAACUGACCUUGAAACAGUGGAAGAUUUAGUUUUCUUGUCAUCUCACUCACCACAACAACACUCUAUUGCAACACCUUAUGACAUCCUGUGCUUUAUUUAGCAAGAUUAAACAGAUCCAAAAAUUAGAAGUAUGUGUGAUUUACCUGAUUUAUUUAUUUUAUAUCUCAUAUAGUAUUAUGUUCACAAAUAUAAUUUCACAAUUUCCCUAAACCAAAAAUUUAAUACUAUAAAUAAAUAUUAUAUACAAUUUAUCUGACUAGUUUAGCCAAGCAAAUACCGAAUAGCUUUCCAUAAGAACCUUGCAAAAUUGCUAAAAAACAUAUAACACAUGAUAUUUUGGCCAGUGCUGCAAUGAUUAUUUAUUUAAAUAUGUUUGUUAAUAAAUUUAUUUAUUUAUUUAGAGAUGGAGUCUCGCUCUGUUGCCCAGGCUGGAGUGGAGUGGUGCGAUCUCGGCUCACUGCAAACUACGCCUCCCGGGUUCACACCAUUCUCCUGCCUCAGCCUCCCAAGUAGCUGGGACUAUAGGUGCUUGCCACCAUGCCCGGCUAACUUUUUUGUAUUUUUAGUAGAGACGGGUUUUCACCGUGCUAGCCAGGAGGGUCUCCAUCUCCUGACCUCAUAAUCCACCUGCCUCGGCCUCCCAAAGUGCUGGGAUUACAGGCAUGAGCCACUGCACCAGGCCUAUAAAUUUAUUUUCUUAAGUUUGAAUGGUUCAGGCUCAGGUUCAGUUGUUGGAGUUUUUUUUCAUUGAAAAUAGAAAGACUUCCUUCUUCCAUUUAAUGUAGUCAUAGUUCUAAUAGUAUUUUGGAUACAAUAGAUUUAAAGUUUCUAAAUUACAAAAGUAAGUGAAAUGACCAAAUGAACUAAAAAAUGCCUUGCUUUAAUGCUUCUUAGACAUGUAAAAUCCUAAAAAUCUAAAAUAACCCUGAAGAAUAAGUAUAAAAUUAUUUAAUUUUAUUGUGAUGAAAAUACGAAUUAUUUUGACAUCUUUCUCAGUAGACCAGGAUAAAGGUUUGCUAAUUAGUCUGAUUCAGUACUUGCAUUAAAAAUAAUUUUAAAAUUACUUUCCUUUUGGUAUAUUUUCAGUGAUGAUUGGGCUUUGUGGUGUGCAUGGCUGGAUGGUGAUUGAAUGAAGACAAAAAAAAACAGUAAGAUUCCAAGAUUGCAGUGAAUUCGUCUGACCCAGAUACGACAGAAGAUCCUCUCUGGUGAAUAUGUGCAACCGUUCUGAACCUCUCUUUUGAAAACUUUACUCUUCUUCUGAUUUGAUUCCAUAAUUGGAAAUUAAAUGGAAACUCAUGCCUUCCUAAAA